RNAcentral lists this unclassified non-coding RNA (353 nucleotides) under Hevea brasiliensis (rubber tree). The record is from RNAcentral. Lineage: Eukaryota; Viridiplantae; Streptophyta; Magnoliopsida; Malpighiales; Euphorbiaceae.
AGUCUCCCUCAUUAUGCAGUACUUCUUGAUAAGUAUCUGAAAUGGAACAUGAUCAACUGCAAGACCAGAAUUCUGUAACUUGGAAAAAAGAUUCGCUGCCUCAUUCAUUUUCCCCAUCACACAAUGACCUUUAAUGAGCUCAGUGUAAGUUAUCAUAUCCGGUUCAUAUCCCCUUCCCAACAUUUCAUUAUACAAGUGAAGUGCAAAAUGAAUGCGCCCCUCAUUACAAGCUGCACUGAUCAAAAGAUUGUAGGUAACCACAUCAGGGAAAAGACCAUGACAAACCAUCUCCUUUUUGAGAGAAUUUGCACCAACAAUGUUUUGUACUUUUACAUGUGCAUGAAUCAAUGCAU